ACACGUGAGUAACCUGCCUUAGACAUUGGGAUAGCCUCGGAAACCGGGAUUAAUACCAAUAAAAUCAUAAUGACACAUGUCAUAACGAUCAAAACUCCGGUGGUCUAAGAUGGACUCGCGUCCCAUUAGCUAGUUGGUAGAGUAAAAGCCUACCAAGGCGACGAUGGGUAGCCGGCCUGAGAGGGUGAACGGCCACAUUGGGACUGAGAUACGGCCCAG
This 219-nucleotide ribosomal RNA is filed under the name uncultured Eubacteriales bacterium. Its description in RNAcentral is "uncultured Clostridiales bacterium partial 16S ribosomal RNA". It matches the Rfam family "Bacterial small subunit ribosomal RNA", at positions 113 to 334 of the family's 1533-position model. The record is from RNAcentral. Lineage: Bacteria; Bacillati; Bacillota; Clostridia; Eubacteriales.